Molecule: ribosomal RNA, 605 nt
Filed under: Enterobacter sp. AaD44d
Lineage: Bacteria; Pseudomonadati; Pseudomonadota; Gammaproteobacteria; Enterobacterales; Enterobacteriaceae
Description: bacterial SSU rRNA
Rfam family: Bacterial small subunit ribosomal RNA
Source: RNAcentral
UGAACGCUGGCGGCAGGCCUAACACAUGCAAGUCGAACGGCAGCACAGAAGAGCUUGCUCUUUGGGUGGCGAGUGGCGGACGGGUGAGUAAUGUCUGGGAAACUGCCCGAUGGAGGGGGAUAACUACUGGAAACGGUAGCUAAUACCGCAUAACGUCGCAAGACCAAAGUGGGGGACCUUCGGGCCUCACACCAUCGGAUGUGCCCAGAUGGGAUUAGCUAGUAGGUGGGGUAACGGCUCACCUAGGCGACGAUCCCUAGCUGGUCUGAGAGGAUGACCAGCCACACUGGAACUGAGACACGGUCCAGACUCCUACGGGAGGCAGCAGUGGGGAAUAUUGCACAAUGGGCGCAAGCCUGAUGCAGCCAUGCCGCGUGUAUGAAGAAGGCCUUCGGGUUGUAAAGUACUUUCAGCGGGGAGGAAGGCGAUGCGGUUAAAUAACCGGGUCGAUUGACGUUACCCGCAGAAGAAGCACCGGCUAACUCCGUGCCAGCAGCCGCGGUAAUACGGAGGGUGCAAGCGUUAAUCGGAAUUACUGGGCGUAAAGCGCACGCAGGCGGUCUGUCAAGUCGGAUGUGAAAUCCCCGGGCUUAACCUGGGAACUG